GUCGUGCCGGUUCGAUCGGGAUACUCAUCAAAUUAAAUCGAAAACCGAGCAGACUUCGCUUGUCGAUGGCGGGCCACAUUAUAGCUGAAAGGCCGGUGGAUUACAAAGACAGUGAGCACUCAAAUCUUGUAACACAGGAGUUUUCAUCACAUCACUGGGCGGCCCCUU
RNAcentral lists this small RNA (168 nucleotides) under uncultured Prevotella sp. RNAcentral describes it as "Bacteroidales-1 6S-Bacteroidales RNA suggested". It matches the Rfam family "Bacteroidales-1 6S-Bacteroidales RNA suggested". Lineage: Bacteria; Pseudomonadati; Bacteroidota; Bacteroidia; Bacteroidales; Prevotellaceae. The record is from RNAcentral.